UAUCAGGACUUGAUCUUUCUUGCAACAAGCUAAUUGGUCAUAUUCCCCCUCAAAUUGGAAAUUUGACAAGGAUUCAAACAUUGAAUCUAUCACACAACAACUUGACAGGAUUGAUCCCAUCAACAUUUUCAAACUUGAAGCAAAUCGAAAGUUUGGAUCUUUCCUACAACAAAUUGAAUGGGAAAAUCCCUCAUCAACUUGUGGAGUUAAAGGAAUUAGCUGUUUUCAGUGUGGCAUACAAUAACUUAUCAGGCGAAAUUCCAGAAUGGAAAGCACAAUUUGCAACCUUCAACGAGAAUAGUUAUGAGGGAAAUACUUUUCUUUGUGGACUGCCAUUGCCCAUUUGCAGAUCACGAGCAACUAUGUCGGAGGCGUCAAUCGGCAAUGAACGAGAUGAUAAUUUAAUUGACACGGACAGUUUCUUUAUCACAUUUACAACAUCGUACGUAAUAGUGAUAUUUGGAAUUGUUAUUGUUUUAUAUGUAAAUUCUUAUUGGCGACGUAGAUGGUUUUACUUUGUUGAAAUGUGGAUAACUUCAUGUUAUUAUUUUGUUGUAGACAAUCUUAUUCCAACAAGAUUUUGUCAUUGAAAUUAAUUAGUAGCUUAAUUACGAUUCUUUAAGUACUAAUCAAGUUUGGUUAGGAAAUAAAUUUAUUUUUAUUUUUUAUUAAAAUUGUAGUAGUAUUUAGCGUUAUAUAGCUUCCAACUUCCAAGCACUUCACAUUUGUCUCCACACUUCCAAACCCAUAUCUAUCCACCAUAACUUAUACUUCCCUAUACUGUGCAGCAUACUUAAAUAAGAGAACCAUCUCCAAUUUUAAAAGCAGCCACUCUAUAACAUUCAUUUAGAAACUAUAUUCAGAAUAGUUUUAUAAUCAUACACAAGAAAUGAAACACCUAGAUGCACUUGAUCGCCUAUUUUACUUUAAAAAAUAAUGAUUAUGGUGCUAUCAUCAUCUUCUUCGCUAGCAACAUUAACACCAAAUCCAGCGAUGGACCCAGACAUUUUAUCAAGAAAGGUAUAUAUAUAAUAAAGUUGAAGCUUGACAAAAAAUUUAGGAAGAUUAAUGCCUCGCCACAACAAGGGGCAGCACAACAUCAAAGUAGAGAUGAAGCAAUAUUCUCAAAGCUAAAACUCUCAAAUCCACCCACCAGAAUUUCAUAUCUCCUCAACAAUUUUAAGAACUAAAGAUAAUUAGGAUCUAACAUUAGUUUUUUAUAUAUUAGUUUCAUAAUUUACAAAUCAAUGAAGAUGAAGAUUAUGCUAAUGAAUUCAAAUUAUACCAUACAUUCUCGAGAUGUUACCAAAAAUUUCUAAGUCAAUCCCACAUAUUUCAUAAUUUUAAGACUAGAAAAUUUCAUUAGUUAGAAGUUUCAUUACCUUCAAGUGGAAGAUGAAGAACAUUAUACAAUUGAUUCAGAUUAUAUCAUACACACUCCAAAUGCAACUAGAAAUUAACAAGUUCAUGCGCACAGAUUUCAUAACAUUAUGAAUGGAAAGUUUCACAAAGAGAAAUUCUAAAUUCAAUCUCUUGCAUCGAGGUAGUUUGAUUGAUUUGAGUUACUUUCUGAUCAAGCUAUUAAUAUAACAUUCAAGUCAGGGAGAAAGUAAAUUAAAACUGGGAAGAAAUAACAGUAAAAAUUUGUUGCUAAACAUGAUGUGUAUUUUUUUUUUAAGGCAAUUUGGAAACACAGUUGUUACUACAGAUAUUCUCCUCAACUUAGAGAUAAAUACAAAUAUUAAAAUGCAUAUGAUCGCACAUAGUACUUGGAGCUUAGUAAGAUUUCAUUAAGAGAAGCAAUCAAACCACUUAUCAAUUGUUGCAAUCGUUCUAUAAGCUAAAAUAGCAAUAUAAUACAAGAAAAAGAACAUAUAGAUACUUGGCAAGAGUUCAUUAAGAAGUCGCAUCACAUUCGGGUGAGGAGUUUGCUUCUGAUAUCUUGCUAGCUGGGGCUUUUUCUUGUCUUUCUACGUAUGCCGAGGGAAACCAACCAGCUUGGCCCUUGCAUUCACCUUCCGACCAUCCAAUAGGAGCCACCUUGAGAAGUUAUAACUAAAACGGUGAAUUAAACAAAAGUUGACCGUUCAAAGACCUAAGGGGAAAACUAAUUCUUUUACGUAGGAGGAGUGAAUUAGUUGUGAUCACUGAAAUAACAGCUUAACUAUGGAAGCAUAACAAGAUAUAAAUUCACACGUCUAUAAGGGUAAACUGGGUGGUUUAGAACUGAGCUAGCAACCCUACUAUAUUCUGAUUUGCACUUCAAUGUAAAAGGGAAUAUAUGGUAGGAAGAAAGAAAACCAACCAUCAUUUGUUAACUCAUUGCUUUUCAAUCAAAAUUUUAAGAACCAAAUGCCAUGUGCUUUGAACAUCAAAUAAGUAUAAGCAUUAGUUCUAAAUUCCACAUAUCAUAAGUUAGAAGGAUAAGUUAAUAGCAUAGUAGAAAAAUCUGUGUUGUUAUUUAGAGGGGAAAGUACCUGGCGAACCACAACAUAAUCAUCAAUUGAAAGACUUAGCUCUCCAUUUGCUUGUGCAUCAAAUGGAUGCAUAACCUGCAAGAUAAUGGGAUAAAUAGAACUUAAUCUUAAAAAAAGCAUAACAAAAGCAGCAACAGUACCAGCAACGUUCAUUGUAACCACUAUGAUCAUGGCCAACAAAGAUAUAUUAGAAACAAAAUUCCAUUUUUACUAUGAUAUCAUGACGAUUGGGUUACCAAGAGCUAUCAAAGUCCAAUAAGUUCUGUAUAACUUUAUGUAGUUAUUCAAAUUAUGUAUCAGAUUUUAAAUCUGAAAUUUUGACUGCUCUCCACAAAACAUGGCCUAUGCACAAGAAAUUCAUAGAUAAUGAGGAUUGCAAGUGUCUGACAUCUUUUGAGUGAUGGAUUUAACAUGAGAGCUUAUGGUCAGUCAAUUUCCUCUGCCUAGCAAUAUAAGCUUUCUCGGCCAAAUUUAUCAUCAAAUACAUAGAUUGCCCCAAGUCAAAUCCAUAUAAACAUAGUUUUUCUAGGUAAACCAAGCAAGGAGAAUCAUAAUUCAGACAUAAUCAUAAAAAGGCCCAUCUAACUUAAGAGAAAAUCUCAAAAAGAGGGAUGUUGAGCUAUCAGUCUUGUAUCCAUAAGGAAUGUCAAGACUUUACAUCACCUGCUACAUCGUGAGUGGCUACACAACUUUCAGUGGUUUGUCUUUCUUUGGCAUGCCUAACUCAGCUUUGAUGUUGCUGAGAUAUUGAUAGUAGAGACACAUGAGACUUCUAGCUCAUGCAUUCUAUCUAGCUCAUCCGACAGCUAUCUCUUUUUUAAUUCAUUAGUGUUUGCUAAGCCACAUGCUUAAAAGUCCUGUUGUUCUAAACAAAGUUUCCUAAGAAUGACUUCCUCAGCACCACAUUUGGACAUUUUUAGAGCAAUUUUAUUUGGGGGAAAAGAAUUUUCAAGGUGUUAACUAAUAAAUUUUAAAAAAUAAUUACAAUUUGUCCUACGAUUAUAUGACAAUUUAUCUGGGAUGAAAGGAUAUAGACAGACAUCUUCCACUUUCAAGACUAAUCACUACUUCCGUAGAUGUUUUGCAAUAAUACAAAUACUUGACCAGAUGGUAGUGAUGGUAGAAAAAAAUUUUAUUGCUCCAAAAUUAAAAUAAGAAUGCAAUGUGUUAAGCAAAAGACUAUGCAACAUCAAAUUAAUUGAUAAGUUUGUAAUUCAGUAAAUUAACAACUUUCAUGGUAAAAUACAACAAAUUUCUUUUCAAAAAAAAAAAAUCUUAAAAGACAGCAUUCAAUUUUGUGCGCAUCUUAUUUCUUAAGAUUUUCUAGGAGGGCAAUAGAGGGACUUUCACCUAUGCAAGAGAGCAGAAGCCUUACUUUCGCUAUAAAGUAGACGUCAUUCUGAUUAAUAUGCGUUUGCAAAUCAGCUCCAUUUGAAUCAGUAUUCUGAUAGACACAUGAGGCAUUUACAUCCAUUUCCAAAGUCACAUGUUGCGAGGAGGACUCAUUUGAUUGCUCCUCUAGGAUCAUCUAAUUCAAGUAGCAAGGGUUGGAAGAGAAUAAAAAGUCACAAUUAUUCUUUUGCAUAAGUGAGACGAAAAUGAUAUAUGCAAUAUUAUCAGCAGUAAACAAGAAGAGAACACUCCAAGGAAUAGAUAGAUGCGGACAAGCAAGUUAAAAUGCACAGUUCCAAACCUCCGCAUACAACUUCUCUGAAAUAGCAAUAACGUGUUGAUGAUAUGUUUUCUCGGCAUCUACCUGCAAAGGCCCGAGACCAGGAAAACAACAAUAAAACCACUAGCUAAAGGAGAAAGUAAAGAAAGAAAUACACUUGACAUAAAUCUUGACAAGAAGCACAAUUUAAGACAUAACAAACCCCAAUCAUAUUGUUUAGAACUACCAUUCGUUAUUUCGUUAUUGUAGCAUUUCGAACAAGUGUUGACUUAAUUCAACAUUGUUGGAAAGAUAGGCUUUUAGAAGCGGAAGAAAGCCACUCAAACCAAAGUGAUUCUUAGGAUGAGUUUUAAUCACUCCCCUGAUUUAUUUGGGUUGCAGUAAAACUAAGCGAGCAACUGUUUGACUUUCAAGCAACAUCUAAAUCAGCUAUUAAAAUUCAAAUAAAAUUAUAAUUGAAUAAUAACUGGCCAUCUUGCAUCAAAAAUUAAGUUUAAUUUGUGAUUUUUUUUCUAUAGACAUGUUAGUUCCUGCUAUUGAAAUGUUAAAAGCAUUGAAAAAUUAUUCAAUAAAUUAUGCAAACAUUAAAAUAGAGGACAUAUUAAAAAGUUUCUAAUUACAAUGUUAAGAUUUCCUAUAUUUUAGCAUUUGCAUAUUUUAAUUUAUUUAAAAGCUACGUCGAUCAACUUUGGGAGUGAAGAUUUUAGCUUCUACGAGACUUGAUUGGAAUAUGCAUAAGGAAGAGUGUUAAAAUAUGAUGCAUCCAACGAAAGACAAACCACGUGUAGUCUUUUAAUUAAGCCAAAGUAGCAGCUCAAACAAAUGACACUUGGACCAACAUGCAAUCAUGAAGUGGCCGGAAAAAGGACAAAUGCAACUUUGGCUUAAAUAAAAAAUAACAUGUGACUUGACUUUUGCCGGACAUGCAUCAUGUUAUUACAAGACAACAGAAAUCAGUAUGAUAGUACUAAAAGUUGACAAUAACAUGAAGAUAAGAGGCAGAAUGUCAACACAUGCAUAGGCACACACAAGAAAGUAUUAACUUAUAUACCAUAGCAAAAAGUCUUUGAUAUGCAUCUGUUGCUGCAGUGAUUCAACUGACAGCAUGGCAGCUGUUCCUUCUCUACCAAGAGCCAUUAUUGUAGAUUUAAGCUCGGUCAAUCUUGCUUCUGCAUUUCGAAGCUUCACAGCACUCUCUGCUGAUAUAUCAGAUUCCUUAAUCUUUGAUCGGCGCCUAAAUACUUCAGCUGCCUGGUGAAAAUAUUCAAUAUAAAUCUAACAUAAUUCUAAUCUUGCCUUAUACAUGCAUAUGUUAACUCAAAGCUUACCUGGGCUUCAACUUCAUGUCGAAGCUUGUCAUAACGAUGAGUCAGGUGUCGAGCAUCUUCCAAAGGUGCUCCGUUGAUUAACGCCCGUAGUGGCUCAGAUACCUACAUGUCCAAAAACCUGUAACAUAGUUAGAAAAAUGAAAAGAAAGAGCGAAACCUCAAUUAAAAAGUUCCUCCAACAUAAUCAUGGAAUUUGGGCCUACUUCAAGGAUAUAUAUAAGGAUAAUUUAUGCAAUUUUGGGUCUUAGGAUGAUUCAUAUUAGGUUAGUGUUCUUCUCUUCUGUAUUUAAGGUUAAAAUAGAAAUAAACCUAUGAAAAUAUCUAAAUUAGGGCUGUAAGACUUCCACAUGCAUCCUUCAGUCUCAUGGAUUUGAUUUUACUAUAGAUGCAAGUGUCUUUAUUGAAAAUGCUUGGAGUCAAUUGAGAGAACUCACGGCCAAUAACUUGUCACACGCUAGUCUUUGCUAGUGAUGUAAGAAGUCACAAGGUCUCUUCAGCAUUUGAACCAAUAAAAUUAUUAAGUCAUGGAUGUCACUAGCAAUGAUUUUAAUAUAAAACAUUAAAUAUUUCAGAGUUGUAACUUUAAAAUGGAUUCUUUUAUUCAAUAUCUUAGAACUAAGUUUCCUUAUGAGAAGAUAAUAGUUUCAGUAGUAAUUUACAUAUAAUUUUCUAUAUUUGAAUUAUUUUCUAGUUAGGGAUGAACUAACCUGAUCACGAAGAAUCCCAAGCAAAGUUUCCCUCUCAUUUUCCAUCAAAUCAUGUGAAGUGCCAAAUUGAAGAGCAGCUCUUGCAACGCAAGAAUUGUCACUUUGAUUCUCCGCUCCAUACUUGCAACAAUCUUCGGCCAACUUUCUCGCUACAAUAUUUGAAUACAAAAAUAUUGUACACAAGAACUAGUCAAGAAAAUUAAAAAAAAAAUCAAAUAUUAAAACGAGAGCAAGAGCAAACAAACAACCUAUUUCCAUUUGUUUCAAGUUUACUGCAACAAACACUUCAACGCCACGGACAACAUUCCAUUUGUUUUAUUCUUCUUAUACUUUACGCUUGCAUCAGCCUCAAUCACUUCUUAAUCGCUUGCUUUAACUGCAUCGCUCUCUCUGUGCUCUUCUAUAUAUGUAACGGUUAUGCGGUUGUAGUUCACGGCUGAGGCUACGUGUGGGUUUGACGUGGCAGUUACGUUACAAGGGGAUAAAUAAGAUUGGUUACAACAAACCCACUAAUUUUAUAAAAUUCGAGUAAUAUAGAAUAAAAUAAAAAAAUAAAUACAAAAUUGGCUUUUAUUUUGUAUGGUUGACUGUAUUUUGUGUUCUCUUCCGGCACUACUACAAUUGUUCCCUAUAUAUUAGUCACACCCAUAUAUCAUUAACACAAGAAAUGAAAUCUAAUGUCACCUACUUAGUUAAAGAAUCACUCAUGAAAAAUUUUUACCAUUUUGAUUUGAGGAUCCAUAUUUUGAACUGCAAGCUAAUGUUCAUCAAGAAUCACUGAUGUUCAUAAAAAUCAGAGUAUGGCCGUUGAGUAGAAAAAUUAUUUUUGGACAAAUUAUUUUUGUUGAUAGAAUCUGCCACUUUCUCAUGAAGAAAGGCAUGCGGAGCAUACCAUGGUACCAUACGGAGAAUGUUAGAACCACCCUAGAAUAUCUUUACCCUGAUGUUUCUAACAAAAAUCUGCAUGUGGCAGCAAUUACUAGAUCUACAAUUUCCCAAAUAAUAUUUUGUGUUUCUUAAAAAAAAUUGAAAUACAUAGUUGCAAUUGCACACCGUGAGACAGUGCUACAAUCUACUGAGAUCUAAAUUAUAUGAGACUUUAAGCUACUAAUGUUUGCAUAUUUCUACAUGUCAAAUUAACAUUACCAUCUAUAAUCCGAAACGACAGAUGAUAAACGGCUUUUGGCCACUUAUUACUAGCAUCCACAAUUAAUUUUUGUUCAGCAAUCAGCUUAUUUUAUAGAAAUUGAUUUAGUCAGCAACAAACACUAUAAUACUUGAAAUUAGUUCUUGUUCUUUGUAAUUUUCUAUGAUUUUUCAUAUAUCAAUUAAUCUGCAGUGCCAAGAUGAGGUUUAGUUUUCAAACUAAAUAAUCAAGUAAGCAAAAAUACAAAUUCAGAGAUUAGCGGGGUAAACUAGCUGGGUGGUUUAGAACUGGGCUAGCUACCUCCCUGUAUUCCUAUUUGUAAGGUGAAUUAAUUGAAUCAUGAGAAAACAAUGUGACCAUAGCUCAAUAUGAGAUGAUUUCGGAGAGGCAUAUUGUUUUCGAGUGAAUUUGAUCCAUUAAGAGAUGAAGUGGAUUGAAGUGGAAAGUUUAAAUAACAAAUCCUUGUUCUUGAGUUUUACGACGUCGUUACUCCUUCAGGUGGCAGAUUAUGCAAGUGAAUUCAAAAACACAAUGCAUCAAUCACGGGGACAAAAGACGGGAUCACAGUCUAUGCAUUGAACAGUUACAGUUGCUGCUACCAAUUGUUCGGCAAAGAUCAAGAAGACUGAACGGGAAGCUAAUGCCAUCAAUGUCGUCUUCACUAUAUCUGCUGGGAAUGUAGGUGAACUUUCCUCAUUUGCAGCUGUCUAUACAUAGGCUUUUCCCCAGCUUAAGUACAAAUAAAUGAAGCUGCCUUGAAGGCUUUAUUAUUGACCCCAAUAAGGAUUACUAAUUGAAGAAGACUAUACGGAGUUAAUCUCACAUUUUAGUUCUCUCAAUUUCUUUCAGAAGUGCCUCUGAAAAUAGCUGCCAAACCGUUAGUCAGCUUGUAUACUCUGUUUUCUGGAAACAGAGUAGCAUAUUUAAUCGUUUUAAUUGAAUUGUCUUCGUAGCGAUCAUCAACAAACUCAUCAUAAGAUUUUUGAAGCACCCAAGGACUAUCACUGGGUUUCUCUUCUGGUUGAUUUAUUAAUUAAUCAAAGAACGGUUGGAUGAAGUGCAAUGAUGGAGCAAAAUUUACAAUGUCUCCGGUUUCUCCUGACCAUCGGACUUUUGCAGUGAGAACAUAUAACAAAAAGACCUUCAUCAAAAUUUGUAGACUCCGGGUAUGGAUUGGAUCGAGUUUUUUGUUUGAUAUUGAAGAACCACUUUACUAUCGCGAUAUAGAUUAUGUGCAAGGGGUUGUCUACUGUUCUUUGCCUUGUGCUAUGAUCGGUGCUUUUGACGUUGCCCCGAAACAGUGGAAAAUACUUCGAUUUCCUCCGUUUGAUGAUGCAAAGAACUGGUUAAUGUACGAUUACCUAAUUGACUCAGGAUCAAGUAACAACAACAAUUUAUUAAUAGUAGUAUCACAAACGAAGAAGAUUUCGGAGAGGGUGAUGUAUGCCUAUACCGUUUACAGGUUUGAUCCACAGGGGAUGAAGUGGUCUCAAGUGGAAAGUGAUUUAUUAAACAACAAAUCAUUGUUCUUGGGUCAUACCUCAUGAUGUCAUCAAGUGGAAGAUGAAGAUUAUGCAAGACGAAGAUCGUUUGAUAUUGAAGAAUUUGAACAGAAAGCCCAUAGAAAGUACUUAAAUAAGCAUAUUCUUGUUGGGGUAGAAUAUUAAGAAAGGAGUUGUCUACUGUGUGUUGCGUGAUUAGGCUAUGAUCUGUGCUUUGAACAUUGCCCUCAAAACAGUGGAAAAUACUUCAUAUCCUCGACAUGAUGAUGAAAAAUUGGUUACCGAUUACCUAAUUGACUCAGUGACAACAAUCUAUUAAUAGCACAAUUUGGCGUGAUGCCGUUUAGGUAUAUGGUUUUCAAGUUUGAUUCAUCAGUGAUGAAGUGGACUAAAAUAAGAUGUUUAAAUGAUAAGUCAUUGUUCUUGGGCAUAUCGUCAUUACUACUUCUAGUGAUCAAAGAUGAAGAUGAAGAUGAAGAUGAAGAUGAAAAUUGUGCGAGUUCAAGAUUACCAUCAACUCAAUUUUAUGAUUGGAGUGUCUCACCGUGACUCAGACAAAUUCUGAUUCAACCUCCUUCACCAAUGGAUUUUGAUUAGUUAUUUUGUGAUCAAGCAACUUAAUUAAACUCACAGUUUGUUAGUCUAAUUUUAGUUUUACUGUGACCACUAUUCAAGGUAAGCGAAAGUUACAGAUGUGGCAAAAUCAAUAAUUAAAUUCAUAAAAUGUUAAAAAAUAAAACUUAUAAAUUUUGCAUGACUACUUACUAAUAAAUAAAUAAGUUAGAAUGUAGUUAGUUAAUUUUACACCAUAUUAUAUAUUAUUCGAUAAUAAUAUAAAAUAAAAAGAAUUAAAAAAUAAAUAAUUGAAUAAACAAAUAUGACUUUCUAAACAGUAAAAAUUCUAGAGUUAAAAUUUAUAUUAUUAUUUUAUUUUUUAAAAUUGACAUAUUUCUAUUAUCUUACAUGUACACAGAUUUUGAGAGUUGAGAAGAAUAUAUUUAAUGAAGCUUGCUAACAUUUGGUGGGAUAGCAAGUAAGGGUAAAUAAGAUUUUUUUGUUAUUUAUUUGAAUUAUAUCUAUUUUGUUCAAGUUAAAAUACUAAAUAUAAAUUGGAGGUAGACAUUUUAACAGAUCAUCUAAGCUCUCAAAUCUGAAAUUUUGUGUAGAUUUAAAUUCAUAAUUUUAGUUAAUUUUCAUACAUUCAUAUAAACAAAUUUAUGAGAUUUUUCUUUUCAGCAUGUUAUAUUUUGAAACUUUCAAUGUAUUAUUCUAGCUUUAUUUAAAUAAUUAAUUUAUUUAAAAUUUAUUUAAUUUUGAAUUUGAUCAAUAGUAAAAUUAUUUUUAUAUCAAAUUUUUUUAUUUAAAUAGUUCGUGGAUUGGACAAAAUUAAAAAUUUUUAAUCCACAAAAUGGUGGAUUAGAUAUGAAUUGGGUUAAAUACACAUUCGAUCCGCAGUCGUAUGAAUUUGAUUUGGAUUGAAUUUCAUCAAUCCAUGGAUUAGAUUGGAUUGAAAAAUUUAUUAUCCGCAAAAUCGUGGAUCGAAUAUGGACUGAUGUCCAAUCAGCAAAAUCCAAUCCCCGAACACUCCUCUAUCAAAAUUUUCAAGAAUAUUUUUUAUCUUACAAAUUUUUUUUAAAGUCAUAGUCUAAGGGCGGCCCAAUUUCUACUCCAUCCAUAUAAGCGGAGUUCAAAUCUCAUACCUCUUAUCUCCACACAAGAGAUUUAACCAAUUGAAAUAGCUAGCACCCACAAGUAUACUAGUACAGCAUCUCUUAACGUUUAACAUACGUAAAAUUAACGCCAUAGCUAUUGAUAAACACAUUGUUCAAUAUAUAUGAUCAAGAAUCUGAUCCUGCGAGCAACAGCAGUCAGAAGAACCAUUAUAAUGCCUAGCUCUUAUCCUGGUUAAUCCUCUGGCCCGAUGCUUCAUCAUAGUGAUUUAAAAAACCAACAACAGCUCUCUAAAAGAGAUGAAGAUAUCAUCUACGUAAAGAACAUGAGACGGAGAUUCACAACCCAUAAGAACUGAGAUAAAUUGGACCAGACCAGUAAUCUUGAGAUAAGUUAAACUGUGACUUAAGUUGAAAUCAGAGGACAGGAAUUUUAAAAUCUUUCGGCUAAGCCCCUGAGGAAUUUUCUAGAGUACGACUUCUGCUUACCUCUGUUUAAUUUCUCUUUAUAUUUUUCUUUCAUUUCAUUAAUAAAGUCAAAUAAUAAAUCAAAGAACGAGGGAAGAUUUUUCCAAGUCAUGCAUUAUUUGAUUACCAUCAAUCAAGAAACCGACCAAAUUAAUUUCUCUCCGUGAUUUUUAAAAAUUAAAAAAAAAAUAUUUGAGCAUAACAUCAUUAAUUAUAGAGUGGAUCAAACUGCGUUAAUCAUGAACUUUGUUGUGUUAAUUAUUUCAAUCCCCGAUUACGCAAUUUUUAAAUUAUAGCCUAACGGUGGUCUCAUCACCACGUGUGUGAUUUUCUUUUGCCAAUAGGAUCUGUAGAGAGCUUGAUCUCACCCAAUAGCAAAAUAAACUUCCUAAUAAGUGAAGGCAUAGUAUAAAUAAUUCACCCCCAUAUUAUUUAUUAGCAGCUUGAUUAUUUUAUAUGCAUCUUUGAUUUAAAUUUUUUUUUCCCAUAAUUGCUACUAUGUUCGAACUGGUCAUGAAUUAUCUAUAAGAUUUUUCAUGUUGCUUUUAGGUGCAUUGGAUUUUUUUUAGUUUAGUGCAAGAGUAGAGGAAGGCAAAUUAAGAAAAAGGAUAAAGAUCUAUGAUUAGCUAUUUUGGGAUGUCUCAUAACAUAUUGAUGGUAACAUUAUACAUAUGUAUAUCUAAAUAAUGGGGUUGGAUCAAGAGCCCAUUAAUAAUCAUAGAUUAGCUUAUAUAGCAAUUUCACAAGCACAUGUUAGCCUAUGUUGAGCUUUAUUAUCAAUAGUUCAUAGUUCAUCGGUGCACUGCAGGUUUACUAUUUGAAGUAAAUGUUAUGGUGCGUGCAUUUUUCAUAAGGCCAACCGCUGAAUUUAGCAUUGAAACUUACAAAAUGUAAUAGAGAGAGGUAGAUAACAGCCACAAAACACUAAGAUUGGAAAUCAGGGCUACUAAAUACUAUUACAAGCCCUUAGAAAAGACACUGAUCAUCCUGGAAUAUAUAUACUGAAAGUAAGAAAUAUUAAUCGCAAAGUUAUGUGCCAACAAAACUAUUGACCACUUGUCCCUAGCAGAAGGUAUAUAUUUUUAACUUCAGCUCUCUACUUUGUUCUAAGAACUAGGCAAAAGAAUGAAACUUCACUGUCUAAAGUUUGCCGCUUGGAAUAUUUCACUGUCUAAACAUUCACUCACCACUAAUUUCACAAAUGAAUUUUGUCUAACUAUAUGUUGAUAACGAUAUUAGAGGUAAUAUAAUGCAUUUAAGGCUUAACAUAUAUUUUUUAUUAGUAGAGUGUAGAAUUUUUAAGAAAUAAAUUAUUAAAUUACUAUAACUAACAUAUUAUUUUAAAGUUAUGUUAAGAAAAGAAUGAAACAAAAAAAAAAAAAAAAAUAAGGGUAUUCUAAAACUUUGAUCCUUUUAAAAGUAGUUUUUGACGUAAAUAAAAUAAUUUUUAUUUUUUUAAAUCACAUACUCUAGUUAAAAUCAAAUUUGUAUUUAUAAAGCUUGUAAAUUUUUUUUAGCAUUAAUAUUUGAAUACUUUCAAGAUAAGAAAUAGGGUACUAAUUAUGCUACAACAUUAUUAUAGCAUAUAAAAAGACAAUACCCUUUAUAUUAUUAUACUAUCGUUUUUGUUAUGAUAGUAUUUUGUUAGUGGUCAAAUAUUACUUUUUUAAGUAAAAAAGUAGACAAAUGUAAAUCAAUUUUUAAUCUCUCCUAAAAUUCUAAUUCCUAGUUACCAAACAAAAUUGUUUGAAAAUAAUUUGGCUAAGUGCAUGGGUUCUUAAAAGUUAAAACUAUAGGUGAUAGAAGUUACUAGCACAAGCAAUUUUGACGGUCCAUUUUAUAAAAAUUUUUAAUAAUUUUUUAUUUACCAUUUUACCACCUAUAUAAAGAGUGCCACAUCGACAUAUCAAUUCAUUUGCAAAUUAUAUUAAUUUUGUAAAAUUCAUUUGACUUGCUAAACCCUUCUUAUCCCCUUUCUCGACUGUCAUACCCUAACCUUAUUAAUCCAACUGGCAAGUGCUCACAAUGACCGACAGCCUCUCCAUCUCCAUUUCAAGCUUCCUCUUCAACUGGCUUCUGCUUCCGUCGUACGCUUCCUUGGAUUCGGAGUCCGUAUUCGCUCGACCGGUCCGGCACAGCUCCCUCUCACUCCAAUUGUCACCCAACAAGACCAAUUGCUUAACAUUGAUCGUAUGGCAAUUGUCCGUAUUUCUUGGAUUCAGAGUCCGUAUGGCACAGAACAAGAAGAGUAUGAGAGAGAGAUUUGGAAAUCGAAACGUACGCAUUGACCGUGCCUUUGAGGGCAAUUACUUUUCUUGAGAAUUGAAGUUUGGUAAUGUAAUUUGUUCUCUAUCUGUGUCCCCUUUGUAGUCAUUUCAUUUAUUUGUUUGUUUGCUUUUAUUUGCACUUACGAAGUCUCAGAUAUAUCUACGCAAGAAUGAUGCAGGAGAAAUUGAUCCUCGAGCUUACAAGAAAAGUAAAUUUCGAAAGCAUAAUUUGGCUCCGAUUGAGGUAAUAAUUGUCUUUAAACUCAUUUAGUUUUAUAUCAAACAAAAUCAAGGCUGCCUUUCUCUUCAAUAUUUUUUAUGAUAAUAUCUUUAGAAGCAUCUCAUUGACGGGUAAUCAUGGUAUCCCUUAAAGAGUCUAUAAACUCAAUGAUAUUUUCUUCUGCAAAUGGUUCAUUAAACUUCUUAGACGUAGUUAAAUGUACACUAAGAACAACGAGAAGCUAUGCCGCUGUAGCAUGUAGUGAGAUCUUGUUUGAAGUUGUUUUCUGAAAUGAACUGCCAAAUGGUAGUUUUUUUUUUCUUGGGUGCAUUUGAUGACUCUUUUCUCCUCAUUUUAAACAUGUACCUGCUUGGAAUGGGAAGGAAUAGGCUUCCGAGUUGUUAUAUAUGUUGACAUGCUCUGGUCAUUACACAAAAUGCUCAAAUUGGAAAUUAGAAUGAGAUAUUUGUCGAUGCUUUUUGAGAGAUCUGCAUUCUAUGCACCAUAACAUGAUUAAUGAAAACAGGUUUAAGGACUGGAAAGAUCUGUGGCGGCCCAAGCUUGCAGGAAGGAUUUCAAUGGUUAAUUCUCCCAGAGAGGUUAUUGGUACAAUUUUGAAGUAUCUGGGAGCAUCAUGCAAUUCAAACGACAUUGAUUAGCAACUUGCUGCUGGGAGGAUUGUUGUCAGCAGAAUCUGGCAUUACUGGGAAACCAGGUACUCUUAAAGAAAUGAUAUCUGGUCAAUGCAUAUUAUUGCCUGACAGCUGAUUUUGUUUGUAAAGUCUGCCUCUUCAUACAUAUGAAUGCAUAUGUUAGUGUUUUCUUCUCCUUUUAAUACACAUGAAUGCAUAUGUUAGUGUUGUCUUCUCCAUUCCAUAAAUAUGAAUGCAUAUGCUCUGGGUGUUGGUUACUACUUCAAGUGGAAGGUGAAGGUGAUGCAAGUGAUUUCAGGAGUACAUAUAUUCCAAGGAUGCCGGACUAUUAUUGCUUCCCCCCAUAUUUCAGAAUUUUUUGUCAACCUCCUCCACUAAGGGAUUCCAAUUGAGUUACAAAUAUAUUUUCUGUAGCUCUGUUUUAAAUUUUUGGUCUCAUGUUAAUUUUUCUAAUUACUAUUCUUCAACAAAUCUCUUUUACUUUAAAAAACUGCUACAGUUUGAUUUUACUGCCUUAUAUCAUUGAACAUUGAUACAUGGAAUUUGAAAUCAGACUUGUAACAACAGAUAAAUAGAUAUAGAACAUGCAUAUAAUCUCCAUUUCGAGCUCCCUCUCCAACUGGCUUCUGCUUCCGUCUUACUCUUUCUCGGAUUCGGAGUCCGUAUUUGCUCAGCCGGUCCUGCCCAGCUCCCUUUCACUCCAAUUGUCACCCAACAAGACCAAUUGCUUAAUCAAGGCACAGAACAAGAAGAGGAUGAGAAGUUGAAACAAGAAUUUGAGAAUUGGAAAUCGAAAAUGUAUGCAUUGACUGUGCCUCUAAGGGUUGUUUCUCUUCAGAAUUCAAUGCCUCAAUCUUGGGUUAAGGAUUUUAUGCGAAGUCAAGGAAAGAGAUUGAAGUUUCAGAUGAAUUUGUGUGCUAGCAUUGGUGGGAUCUUUAACAAUUUAUCUGUGCCCUUUAACAAAGUUAAGGGUAAGUCAGCUUCGUAUACGGCUGCUGAUUUGGUUAGUGUUGGUGAUUCAUGGCUCAGUUUUACAAUUAAAAAGAGAUUGAUUGAGCCAAUAGCUGAAGCUGAAGAUCAAGACUGGUUCAAAUGCUUAUGUCACAAAUGGAAGGUAACAUCAUUAUCUUUGACCCGAUAAUUUUUAUUGUCUUACAUUGAAAUUUGGUAAUGUAAUUUGUUCUCUAUUUGUGUUACCCUUUGUAGUCGUUUUAUUUAUUUGUUUAUUUGCUUUUAUUUGCACUAACGAAAUCUCAGGUAUAUCUAUGCAGGAAUGAUGCAGGAGAAAUUGAUCCUCGAGGUAAAAUAUGGGCGGCACCAUACAGGUGGGGCACAACGGUGAUAGCCUACAAGAAAAGUAAAUUUCGAAAGCAUAAUUUGGCUCCGAUUGAGGUAAUAAUUGUCUUUAAACUCAUUUAGUUUUAUAUCAAACAAAAUCAAGACUGCCUUUCUCUUCAAUAUUUUUGAUGAUAAUAUCUUUAGAAGCAUCUCAUUGACGGGUAACAAUGGUAUCCCUGAAAGUGUCUUUAAACUCAAUGAUAUUAUCUUCUACAAAUGGUUCAUUAAACUUUGUUGUUGUAGUCAAAUGUACACUCAGAGCAAUGAGAAGCUAUGGCACUGUAGCAUGUAGUGAUGGCACUUAAUAAGUGAGUUGCUAGGAUGUGAACUAGAAAAAUUAAAUAUUGUCUCCUUGGGUAUGCUAGCUUGUAAGUCAGGGUUAAUAUUAGAGCUUAAGUUACUAUAACCAUGAGACGCUAUUGACUGCCAAUUAAAAUAUCCAUUAAAUUGUCUAGGAAGUUAUGAAAGUGGAGGUAUCUUCCGAUUUCUAAGGCCAGAUAGUAGACAUCAUCCAGGAUCCUAGGAAAGUGCAGUUAACCUCCUGCUCGAUGCAAUUAAUAAAUUUGGUCAAUGCCACUGAAACCUGCUAACCGACGUCACAAUGCGAGAUGAGCACUUCAAAAUGGGACAGACGGUCAGUAGCACUAAAUUUUUCUUUCCUAAGAUUGAGCAAUUGGUCUAACUACUAACCCCUAUUGUAGGUUGAUCAUUAUUUUUCCAAUUAUGUUCAGUUUGACCCAAAAAGUUACAGAAUCUUGAGCUGAAUAUUGUCACUGAACACUGUCAAUGUCAUUUAGCAUACCCAACUAACUUGAGUUUGGUAAAACAAACACACUGUGCGUCUCAUCUCUCACAAUUCAAAUUAUCAUCUGUAAUGAUGGAGAAUUUUUCCAAUGUAUGAAGUAUGCUUUGAUAUGUGUACCUUGGAGAAGAUAUCUCCAAAUAAAGAAUAUGGAGAGAAAACGGUUCAGUAGUUUAUUAUUCUGUAGGCAAGUCUUGUCUCGAAAAUGGUCAAAAUUUAAAUGAAUAAGGACAGGGGAUCUUCAUUCUUUUUUCCCUUUUUUAUACCAAGAUAUCUCUCAACCUUUAUAUAAUCCCCACUGGAUAUCUGCUUCUAAUAAUUAAAAUAAAAAUUUCACUCACACAAAUAAAUACUGACCAAGCUCUAACAAUAUAAAGUAACAUCUUUACUCAAGUAAUUUACAGUUCCUCAUCAUCUUAGUGUGAGACUAUCAUUACGUUCCAAAAACAAAAUAAAACUGGUUUGAUCCUGUUUAUUGAUGUUUAAAUGUUGUUCAUUGUGACAUGUAGAAAUGAUGAAGCGAAGUUUAUUUGGUCAUCAAUUAGUAAGAUCUUGUUUGAAGUUGUUUUCUGAAAUGAACUGCCUUUUUUUUGGGCAUAUGAUGGCUCUUUUUUCCUCAUUUUCAACAUGUGCCUGCUUGGAAUGGGAUGGAUUUGGCUGCAGAGUUGUUAUAUAUUUUGAGAUGCUCUGGCUGUUGUGAAAAUUUUAAUAUACUCGCAAGCACACGAAUCUAGAAAUAGAAUAGUGAUAACGAGGUCGAACCCACAGGGAUUAUUGAAAAGUCUAAUUUAAAUCUAAAAUUAAUAUUAAUUCUAACCUAGUUGAGCAAAUUGAGUUUUAAGAGAAAUUAAACUAAUUAAACUAAGAAAAUAAUUAAAGUAAAGGAGAAUUCAAUAAGACAAAAAUUACCAAGGUUUCAGAAUCCACCACUAUUCAACUAGUAAUUAUCUAAUUAUUAAUUAAUCCCCAAUUUUAGAGUGACAACUCGAAAUCAAUCUAUGUCAUCUCAUGGAUAUAACAAUUAAGCCCAAGUAAUUAAAUCUAAUGUAGGUUCUUUUUCUACUUAAUAGUAUGAUAUCUAAGAAUCUCAUGUAAACAUAUUGAAUAACAAAGAGUCAAAGUUUUCUUAAGCACUCUAUGUAAACAAUUUAAUGAAAGACAUAAAAUCAAAGAUAAUCAUGCAUAAACUUUAUAGAUCCAAGCAUAGAUUUAAUCGAAUAUUAAUCCUAACAAUCAAUAAUGCAUAACAGAAUUGAUGAAAAGAUUUUAAUAACAUCCAACUAAUCAUGUGAAAUAAAAACCAUAAUCAUUAAAGAACAUAUAUAGGGAAUUAAAUAAAUAAAAAAAUAAUUAUUUCAUUGAAUAGGGUUUCAUCCUUAACCUCAGUAUAAGAAAAUUAGUUAGACAUACUUGAAUUGGGAAAAACAAAAGAGAUAAAACCGGCCAUGAGGAAUAUUGAACUGUUGGUGCCGAUUGCUCUUUUCCAGCCUUGCGUCUGCUUUCCUCUGGCGGCUACCUCCCCCCUUGCAAAAGCCAAAGUUCGGCUUUUAUAUUGUAACUCCCCCACAAAAUCCUCAAAUCAAAAGGUUUUAAAACAAGCCAAGCACAACCGACUUUGAGCCCAUGCAUGUGAAGCCCAAUUGGAAUUUUCAUUCCUUUUUUAAUGCCAUGCAAUUGCUUUCCCACGUGCUGGCCACUUUAGCUUUAAAUUUCUUCUUUGUUUGCACUAGCAUGGAGAAUUCAAUUUAUUGGCUUCGGCUUCUUCGGAUUGAAUUUCAUACACAUCUACUUAAUUGCUUCCACAAAUUGACUUGAUUUUUAAUGUUGUCCAAUUGUUAUUCUUUAUGUACUUUUCAUCCUUAAUCUCCAAUUAAUUCCCUAUUCAAUAAAAUUAACUUAGCAAUUAUAUAAUAAAGGGUAAAAUAUGUAUAUAAAUUAUGCUCAUCACUGGCCAUUGCACAAUUUGUUCACACUGGAAAUUUGAAUGAGAAAUUUGUUGAUGCUGUUUUGAGAGAUCUGCAUUCUAUGCACAAUAACAUGAUUAAUGAAAAUGGAUUGUAGGACUGGAAAGAUCUGUGGCAGCCUGAGCUCGCAGGAAGAAUUUCAAUGGUUAAUUCUCCCCGAGAGGUUAUUGGUUCAGUUUUGAAGUAUAUGGGAGCAUCAUACAAUUCAAACGAUAUUGAUUCGCAAGUUGCAGGUGGGAAGAUUGCUGUUCAGCAGAAUCUGGCAUUACUGGCAAACCAGGUACUCUUAAAGAAAUGAUAUCUGAUCAUUGCAUGUUAUUGCCUGACAACUGAUUUUGUUUGUAAAAGUCUGCUUCUUCAUACAUAUGAAUGCAUAUGUUAGUGUUCUCUUCUCCUUUUCAUACAUAUGAAUGCAUAUGUUGGUGUUGUCUUUUCCUUUUCAUACAUAUUAAUACAUAUAUUGGUGCUCUCUCCUGAGAUGGAUGCAAUAAAGGCUUUUGGUCCUAAAUUUAGGUGAAGAAAUGGCAAGGGAUGUGAGAUUCUGUCUCAUUAAAUUAACAAAAACCCAAAACAAUGAAAACCCAUAAUAAUGUGGUGGGGGUAAAUUGGCACCAUUUGGUUUGUUUACUUAAUGUGAAUACACGAGCAAUAGGGACUAACAAAAUGAAGUGACAACAACAAGUCAGUGUCCUUUGAUGGAUGCAUUUUAGGCAAAAAUAGGUUUGUAAUUGACCAAUUUCAAAAAAUUUAAAUUAUGUGGUUAUUAGCUGUAAUGAAGGGGAUAGGAGGUGCAAUCAGGUGGAUCCAGGAAAGUUCAACAAAGUUCUGGUAUGGCAUAGUGAAAUUGGUUUGUGCAACUCAAGAGUCUUUCAGGUGAACGAUGAUAUGUUUUGAUUUAUAAAUGUUAUAAAUCUACCGUCCAUAGUAUUCUAGUAGAAUCAUCUAUAAGUUCUAGUUAUUGAAAUUGUCUACUUUGUCCAGUUUGAGUUAAGGGCACAUGUAAUAGGAAAAAUAGUUGUCACAUCUUUUUGGUUACCUAACAUUUGAUCAAUCCUAUUAUGAGGGCUUCAAGAUGUCUAACAAUAUGUAGAAUGCCCAUGCUCCUCCCCAUUGUUUAUCUUAUACAAUAAUUUGUUUUAGAUGCUAAUAUAUUUGUCGAUACCGGUAACGAUAUUACAAUAUCUGCAUUUAUUGGGUUUUACAUAGGUUCGACUGUUUGACAGUACACACUAUCUGAAGGCAUUUGGAAUUGGAGAUGUAUGGGUUGCUGUUGGGUGGAGUAGUGAUGUUCUUCCUGCUGUCAAACGUAUGUCUAAUGUUGCAGUUGUUCCCAAGUCUGGUGCUAGCUUAUGGGCCGAUCUUUGGGUAUACCCAUGCCGGCCAUUCUACUUCGAUAUUCACGUUGUUAUCUCCUUCAUAUUAGCGAUCAUAAACUUGAUAAUGUGACUAAUAAGUUCGUAUUCUCUUUAUAGGCAAUCCCUGCUGCCUCAAGACUUGAAACAAAAGAAAUUGGAGGGCGAGUCUGAGGUCCAUCUCCAUUAAUCCAUCAAUGGAUAGAAUCCUGCUUGCAAACAGCGAGAACAUUGCCUUUCAAGCAAGAGGUUAUCCCGGGCGCAUCUCCCUCUGCCCUUGAAAGUACUCUGGUUAAGUUGCCUGAAGAACUUCUGAAGGGUAAACCAAGUCUGGAUACUAACUUAAUUGCUGGAGUACCCCCGGCUGAAAUUCUGGCCAGAUGUGAGUUUUUGGAGCCAUUGUCUGAAGCUACAUUGUCAUAUUAUGAGUGGCUGGUUGCUAAUCUGCAAAAACCUGCCCCCCUCUUGAUGAAUAGGCUGCAACAUUACUUGUCAUCAUUAAUCCAAAGCUUUCUAGCAAAAGCUACAUUGAAAAGUUAAUGGCACUGCAUGCCAGUCAUUGUAAUGCUGUCAGGGCUAUUGGGUCAGGGCUAUUGGGUCAGAGCAUAACUUCAUUAGGAAAAGAGGCUUCAGCUACGUUAAAUAUUACAGGAUGUACUGAGAUGGCUGAAGUUCUUGAGGUUUUACGAGAAACGAAAGAUGAGUGUUUGUUUGAACAAAGUUGUUGCCAUCUUGCAGAGUUUGAGAAGAAAGAUCACUGAGCGAAUGCCACCGAUUUCUUAAUCAUUGUAGCCUCCAUAGUUGAAGUUUCCUUAUUUGAAGCUGUUUAUGCGUACGCUUUUUCCCUGCUCAAGUACAGGAAAUUGAAGAAUUAACCAGAUGUGAUAUGCUGAAAGAGGGAAGUUUUCUUCCUUGAACGUGGCCUUGUGAUUUGUCUUGGAAGGAAUAGGAUGAUCACUGGCAAGAACCCUAUCAAGGUAGAUUUUAUGGUGCUAACGUAUUAUUAAGCAUUUUGUUACAUCAGCAAUGAUGCUUUCAUAGCAUGAAAGGGUUUAAAUUUAACUGAAUGAUUCUGAUUAAUCAAUUAUGAGUUUGAAUCGAGUAAAAACUAAAUACAAUCAUCGUUAACAAUACUGAAAAAAUUUAACUGAAUCAUCGUUAAUUGAGUAAAUAGGAUCUUGAUAUUGAAGAAUUUGAAAUCACAACGCACACAGGAAAUUGAAGAAUUUGAAAUACAAUCAUCGUUAACAAUAUAAGAUGAGUGUUUGUUUGAACAAAGUUGUUGCCAAUCUUGCCGAGUUCGAAAAAAAAGAUCACGGAGCAAAUGCCACUGAUUUCUUCAUCAUUGUAGCCUCCAUAGUUGAAGUUUCCUCAUGUGAAGCUGUACAUCAAGUACAGGAAAUUGAAGAAUUAACCAGAUGUGAUAUGCUGAAAGAGGGAAGUUUUCUCCCUUGAAUGUGGCCUUUGUGAUUUGUCUUGAAGGAAUAGGAUGAUCACCGGCAAGAACCCUAUCAAGGUAGAUUUUAUGAUGUUAACAUAUUAUUAAGCAUUUUGUUACAUCAGCAAUGAUGCUUUCAUAGCAUGAAAGUGUUUAAAUUUAACUGAAUGAUCUUGAUUAAUCAAUAAUGAGUUUUAAUCGAGUAAAAACUAAAUACAAUAAUUGUUAACAAAUACUGAAAUUGGGUAAAUAUGAUCUUGCUAUUGAAGAAUUUGAAAUCACAACCCACACAGGAAAUCACCCUUCGCGUGGAGAUGGAGAUGUUUACUGCAGCGAUAUUGAAUAUGUCCACUGCUCUUUGGGUUAUGGUGCGACUUGCGAUUUCAAGGUUGCCCUGAAACAAUGGAAAAGAAUUAACAUACCCUGCAAUGAAUGAAAGCGGCUGGACUAAUUCUGAUUACCUGAUUGACUCAGGAUCGGAUGGCAAUAAAGACAGUUUAUUAACAAUGCACAGUCCCGAGUACUUUUUCAGGAUCAGAUAUUACGUGGUCUAAUGUUGAUAAUAAUAGAUUAUCAAAUGAGAGAUGCUGAGAGAUGCUGGUCUAGUAUUGCAAGCCCCCAGAUUUAAGAAUCUUUUGAUGAUAAUUUACCACCUGUAACUGUGCCGGAAGAUUCACCUAGCAUUGAAAAAGAUGAUAAUUUAAUUGAUAUGGAUAGUUUUCAUAACACUUUUAAAUCAUCUUAUGUAAUUAUAAUGUUGAGAAGCAUUAGUGGUCUAUAUGUGAACUAUUAUUGACGCUAUUUUGUUGUAAACAAUCUUAUUCAAUUAAUGUAUAAUUUAAAAUCAUUAUGUAAAUCAAUCUAUUACUUUUCAUGAUAUUUAACUGAGUUAAAACUAAGUGCACCCAAUAAAUCUCUUUUCCUUUAAAAAACUGUUACGCUUUGAUUUUAGUGCUUAAUAUUUACGGAACUCCGGUACAGGGAAUUCGAAAUCAAACUCGUAACUACAGAUUAUCUAAUUGCAAGCUUUUGUCCAUAGUUGCUGAUUGUAGUGAUUAUCUAAUUGACUGAGGUGACAACAAUUUUUUUUUUUAAUUUUCAAUAGCAUAAUGUGGAAUUCAAUAAUUAAAUUCUCCUUUUUAAUUUGUUUCCAGUUAAAUUAUUAAUUACUUAAACUCUGUUUUAAGUCUUUAAUUUUAUGUCUUGGCGUAUAUGCAGGGUUGGAUUCUUGAGCGUGUUGGACACGACCAACAAUGAAAUUGACAGUAAACAAACAUUAUAACGCGUUGAGUGUCGACUCCGCUAGCUGCCCUACAAGUCUACAACUUUACAAACAAUAACUGAGUACACACAUUUGAUUCUCAGGGCCUUUCAAUGAAUUUCUAGGCCGGUUGACUCCACCGACAAAAGUUUUGGAAAAUAAAAAAGAAAAUUCAUAGAAUUCCACCAAAUGCAAAACGCGUGGAAUUUAAUUUUCGGCUGUGUGGACCAAAACAUAAUUUAAUGAAAAAAAAGAUAAGAUUUCUAGAAUGUGUGGAAGGUGAUCCAUAUUUUACUGAAACAACUUAUUAAAUUUUUCAAGGAUUUAGAAUAUUUGGUCAUAAAUUACGCUCAUGUUAAUUUUUCCACUGUUGACUAUCAUAUUCUAGACUCACUGGUACCUUUCUUGAUGAAGGGUACUUAGUCUCUCUUCUCCUCUUAUAAAAAUUAUAUUAAUUAAUUUCUUAUUAUAAUAAAUAGUCUUUAAGAACGUAUAGAUUUAUUGUUUUCGUGACCAAAUUAUGCCAGCUUAAGGUUGCGACUAUUAAUAAAAUUAAUAUUUAAUGUUUAUGUUAAAAGAUAUAAGAUUUUUUGCAUUCAUUAAUUGUCAUUAGCUAAAGGAUUAAUUAUUUUUUCAACCCAAUCAGUUGAUGCAUCUGCAAGAAUUUUUUCUUUUAUUGACCAUAAUUAUAUUCCGGGUACAAUAAAUUAUCUUUGGUGCUUGGAAAAUAUGACUUCUUACUUCAAGUUUGAUGUGUCUCUCUCCAUAAGCUUACUGGAAAUAUAUCCUCAUCUACUGUCAUUUAUCUAAUAUCAAUUGAAUAUCUGACUUUUUCAAACUAUCACUUCCAAGUCUCAUUGUCACUUGGCCAUUCUUGGACCAUUCAAAACCAAACAAGUGUUGAAAUAAUCAAAUAUAUGCAAAAUUAGAGUCACGACUUUUGGUCCUCCAAAUUCUAAUUAUAUUACUUCUAUAUAUCUCAUUGUCAGGUCACGAACUUGUUGGCACAUUUUCCAAAUUCCUCUUCCAUCAGCUCUUACACGUUAACUUAAGUGGAAAGUUUCCAAGUUGAUUGCUAGAAAGCAACGCAAAAUCAGACACGCUUGAUCUGUCCCCUAAUUCUCUUUUCUACGUUGAAAAAGAAAAAAAAUAAGAAAAAAGAAAAUAGAUCUAUGUAAAAAUAAAUAAUAAACUGAGUAAAAGUACAUUUGUUUAUUUAACAUCUGAUCGGGGCAUUUUUGGUGUAAUUUCGUGCUGUGUUUAACCCACAACUAAAAUCAAACAGCCCCUUAGAAUACUUCUUCCAUUUUGGGUGCGUUUGGGAUUGAGGUUGGGCAGCUGUAACUUAAAAACUACAGCACUAAAGUGUUUGAUAAACACUAACUGCUGUAGCUUUUAAGCUAUGUUGAUAUGGUUUUUCACUUGUAUAAUACAAAAUUUAUUAUAUCUUUAAUAAUUUUAUCAAAAUUAUUAUUUAAAAUUUAUAUUUACUAUAUAUUAUUAACUUUUGUUUCAUAAUUACAGCUUUUUUUUCACAGCAACUGUAGCUUAAAAGCUACAGCAUCUCAAUCCCAAACGCACCCUUUAUCUGCUACUUUUGUGGAUCUUAUAGGGUGGGCAUGUGAACAGAAUUUAAAAAUUUUAAUAGUCUCAAAGAAUAAGAUAUGCUAAAGCUAAAGUUGUUGCACCUUCUAAUUAAAUAAAGUUGUAUAAUUUCACCAACUUGGAAGAAUUGAUAUUAAUGGACGGUCCCCUCUCCAUAUAUGAAGCCUUCUUAAAAGUUAAUUUUUAUUUCAGAAAAAAAAAGUUUAAGUUACAUAUAUUAUAGUAAGAUUUUUUUAGACCAAUUCCCUUCUUGAAAUAAUAAUGGAAAAGCAUUAAUUUAAAAAUAAAAUGAAUAUGUAUUGAUUAUAUCCUGAUUUUCAUCGAUUAUAGUGAGAGUUUCUCCAAAUCAAUUCCCUUAUUCAAAUAAUACAGAAAAAAUAGUAAUUUAAUAGUAAAAUAAACAAGUGUUGAUUAUAUAUUCUAAGUUUCAUCGAUUAUGUGAUCAAAGUGGCAUUGUUGAUUUAUUUCUUGUUCAAUGUUAAUUUUUAGGUUAUAUAAAUUUCAAGGAUCUAAAAUCUUUGGUCAUGGAUUACACGCUUGUUAAUUUUUCUGCCAUUAACUGUCAUAUUCUAGACUUAAUGAUACCUUUCUUGAUCAAGCGUAAUUAUUCUCUCUUCUCCUCUUAUAAAUUCCUCUUCCAUUAACAUCACUAGGAGUAUGUUGAUCUCUCAGACGUUAACUUGAGUGGAGAGUUUCCAAAUUGAUUGUUACAAAACAACACAAAAACUAGACACACUUGAUCUGUCUAAUAAUUCUCUUUCGGUAAAAUUAAUUAAUUUUAGGGAAAUAUUCUGCCAACCUCUGUAAUUUCAAAGUGAUCAUUAAUUAAUUAAACGAUACAAAUAUCUAAAGUGAUUAGAUGUUUGCCGACAAUACAAGUUCAUGACUUGAAAUUUGAUCUCUAUCGAUUGGUUUACAAAUGGACGUACUUGUGCCUUUGUGGCGAUAAUCAAACAAGUUCCCAUGAUUAUUAUUUUUUCCAAAAACGUUUUUACAACAAAUUCAUCUCGCCAAAAAUUCUAUGUUGCUAACUAACAAUAAUUGAGCACUUGGCCGCAUUGACCCCACGUCUCCACCUCUUUCUAAAAACAUGGAAAAUGUAAUUUCCACAAAAUGCCAAACGUGUGGAAUUUAAUUUUUUUGCCUUGUGGAUCAAAAUACAAAUGAAAGAAACAGGAGAAAAAAAAGGCCCAAAGACUUCUAAAAGAUGAAGAAGUCUUUGGGCCUUUUUAUAAUGGUGAAUUUUUUAAAAGAAAAAAAAUAACAACAUUUUUAUGGUUUGUUUUGAUAAUCAUAUUUACAUAUACUCUCUAAUUUUCAAAAUGGACACAUAAAUCUUUUUUUUUACAAAAUAUAUAUUAUUCAUAUUUUUUAUUUUUUAUUAUCAUAUUUUUAUUUAUUAUAAAUGUUUAGAGUAAAUUUUUAGGUUGAAAUAUAAUAAAAAUGUAUAAUCGUUCUCUUAUUAAACACACAUACUUUUAUUAGUUUCUAUGCAUUUGUCAUCUCAAUCUCUCUCAAUUAUUCUUUAUUGCUAGCUCAAAACGCGUUGCUGUUGCAAAUUAUAGCAAAAUGACAAAUAUGGAAAAAAAGGGAAGAAAAUUAAUGCAUGAAAGACUUGGAGAAAACAACAAAAUAAGCCAACUAUGAGCUAGUUGGGUGUAUAAAUUGUUAGAUGUGUUAUAUACAAAUAGCAUAGAGCCCUCUAGUUAGUUCCAGAGACAGAAAGAGCGUGUGUGUUUUUUCACAGUUAGAGAUAUAGUUAGAAUGGGUGGUUCAAAAUCAAAAAUGAUGAUAAUGUUUAUUAUGUUAUUAAUAAUAUUUAAAAGUGGGUGGAGUGAGGGAUGUUUGGAUCACGAGAGAUUUGCUCUUUUGCGACUCAAACAUUUCUUCGAUGAUAGUUAUCUUUAUGACUGGGCCGAUGAUGAGGGAGCUACUGAUUGUUGUCAGUGGGAAAAUGUUGAGUGCAGCAACACCACAGGCCGAGUGAUAGCGCUAGACCUUUUUGACACGCAUGGGGGAGAGCACAGCUGGUAUAUGAAUGCUUCUUUGUUUACUCCCUUCCAACAACUUGAGUCACUUGAUUUAACUGACAACAAUAUAGCCGGUUGUGUUGAGAAUGAAGGUGCUUCGUUUAAUUUAAUUAAUUUACUUUCUCCCCCCAAAUUUAAGUUGAAUAUCAAGACCGAGCAAUUAUAUGCAUAUUCAUUUAGUCGACAAUUUUGACUUUUUUUUAAAUGAUUAAUUUUGAAAUUACACCAGUAUCUAUGAUCUUUUUUUAUUUUAUUUUAUUUGCAGGUAUAGAGAGGCUAUCAAGAUUGAACAACUUGAAGAUGCUUAAUUUAAGUCGAAACUCAUUCAAUAAUAGCAUUUUAUCAUCUCUAACUCAUCUUUCAUCAUUAAGAUCAUUAAAUUUACUUUGGAAUAGAUUGGAAGGAAGUAUUGACGUUAAAGGUACAUAAUUAAAACUUCAAGCUCUUUCAUUAACUUGCUAAAAUAAGAUUCAAGGCUUUGAAAGAAAAAGAGAGAAAAAAACAAGGCCCAAAGACUUCUAAAAGAUGUAAAAGUCUUUGGGCUUUUUUAUAAUGGUGGAUUUUUUAAAAGGAAAAAAUAACAACGCUUCUAUGGUUUGUUUUGAUAAUCACAUUUACAUAUACUCUCUAAAUUUCAAAAUGGACACAUAAAUCUUUUUUUUUUCUACAAAUGUAUAUUGUAUUUUUUAUUAUUUUUAAUAUCAUAUUGUUAUUUAUUAUAAAUAUUUAAAGUAAAUUUUUAAGUUGAAAUAUAAUAAAAGAGUAUAAUCGUUCUCUUCUUAAACACUCAUACUUUUAGUUUCUAUCCAUUUGUCAUCUCAAUCUCUCUCAAUUAUUCAUUAUUGCUAGCUCAAAACGCGUUGCUGUGGAAAAUUAUAGCAAAAAGACAAAUAUGGAAAAGAAAAAAGGGAAGAAAAUUAAUGCAUGAAAGACUUGGAGAAAACAACGAAGUAAGUCAACUAUAAUCUAGCUGGGUGUAUAAAUUGUUUGAUGCUUUAUAAGCAAAUAACAUACAGAGACAGACAAUGUGUGUUCGUUUUUUCAUAGUUAAAGAUAUAGUUAGAAUGGGUGGUUCAAAAUCAAAAAUGGUGAUAAUGUUUGUUAUGUUAUUAAUAAUAUUUAAAAGUGGGUGGAGUGAGGGAUGUUUGGAUCACGAGAGAUUUGCUCUUUUACGACUCAAACAUUUCUUCAAUGAUCCUCUUAAUUCUCUUUACGACUGGGUAGAUGGUGAGGGAGCUACUGAUUGUUGUCAGUGGGAAAGGGUUGAGUGCAGCAACACCACAGGCCAAGUGAUAGCGUUGCACCUUUCUAAUAUAUAUUUGGGAGAGUACAGCUGGUAUCUGAAUGCUUCUUUGUUUACUCCCUUCCAACAACUUGAGUCACUUGAUUUAAGUUUCAACAAAAUAGCCGGUUGUGAUGAGAAUGAAGGUGCUUCGUUUAAUUUAAUUAAUUUACUUUCUCUCUCCUAAUUUAAGUGGUAUAUUAAAAUUGAGCAACUAUAUGCAUAUACAUUAGUUGACAAUUUUGACAUAUUUUUUGAAGUGAUUAAUUAAUUUUGAAAUUACACCAAAUAUCUAUGAUCAUUUUUUUUUAUUUUACUUGAAGGUAUAAAGAGGUUAUCAAGAUUGAACAACUUGAAGAUGCUUAAUUUAAGUGCUAACUCGUUCAACAAUAGCAUUUUAUCAUCUCUAACUCAUCUUUCAUCAAUAAGAUCAUUAAAUUUAUAUGUGAAUGAAUUGGAAGGAAGUAUUGAUGCUAAAGGUACAUAUUUAAAACUUCUCUCUUCCCCAAGCUCUUUCAUUAACUUGCUAAAAUAAGAUUCAAGGCUUUGAAUUCAAUUUUUUUAUGAUUAAUAUUUAAAAAAAACAGUUUUAAGCAAUUUAUAAAUACAAGUUUUAAUGUUUCUUAUAAUUUCAUCUUGUACUUUCAUAUGUCUUGAAUUUAAGAUUAAAAAAAAAACUCUAAUAGCAAACCAAACACCUCCACAACUUAUUAUUAUUAUUAUUAUUAUUAUUAUUAUUAUUAUAUAUUUUUUAAUUUGUGGUGAGGUUUGAAACAUUCAACUCAAUUUGUACUUGUUACAGAAUUUGAUUCUUUGAGAGAUUUAGAGGAGCUAGACAUUGGCGGGAACAAGAUUGACAAAUUUGUGGUCUCAAAAGGUACUACAAAUACCAUAAAAAAAAUAUGCUAACUUUUACAAAUUAGUUAGAUUCUUUGCCAUUUGGUUUAUUAUUUUACAGGUUUGAGUAAGUUGAAGUCUCUUGGUUUAAGUGGUAUCAAACUCAAUCGUAGCAUCUUAUCUUCUCUUUCUUCGUUAAGAGAAUUAGAUAUAAGUCGUACGGGAUUCAAAGGAACAUUUGAUGUUCGAGGUAAGCCUAAACCUUGCUUUCUCAUUUUAUAUAUGCCAACUAGAUUUGUGUAUCAUCGACAUAAUUUAAUAUUUAAUUUGAUAAGUCUGAAGGAAUUACAUGCUAAUUUAAACACACUUUUAUUUACUUUGUCAAUUAAUCAAUUAAUUACUAUUUGGCUUGGUUUGGACGAAAUUCUCAUGAUGUUUUAAUUUCUUUAAAUUAAUUAAUUAAUUAACUCUGUUUUUAAGUCUUAAGUCUGGGCAUGUUUGCAGAAUUUGAUUCCUUCAAUAACUUAGAAGUGUUGGACAUGAGUUGGAACGAAAUCGACAAUCUUGUGGUUCCUCAAGGUAAACAAUUAAAAUAUUAUUCAAUUACAUUAUUUUAAUUCAUUUGAUUAGAGAAGGCCAAAAAGGUAAAAAAAAAAUUCAAUAAAGAAAUAGAGAAUUUGUAUUAUUUAAAAAACAGAAUGUAAUAAAGAUUUGAUUCUAGUUCUUUAAUCUUUAAAGCGAUUGAAAAACAAUGUUGGUCUUUUCGCAAAGCAUAAAAUACGAAUUGAAUGCCAAUUAACUUAAUCAUUCAUUUCGUUUAGCUCUAAAUUUAGACAAUGAAUUUUUAUAUUAUUUCAAAAACAGGACGUAAUAGAAUUUUUUUAAAAAUAGAUUGUAAUGAAGAUUUGAUUCCAAUUCUUUAAUCUUUACAGUGAUUGAAAAACGAUACUACUUCCCAAAGCAUAAAAUACGAAUUGACUCUCAAUUAAAUUAAUCAUUUAUUUCGUUCAUCUCUGAAUUUAAAUAAUGAAUUUUGAUCUUCAAUCUUUUCCUAAUUAUUAUUAAUAAACAGGUUACAGAGGUUUGAGGAAGUUGAAAAGCUUUGGUCUAUCGGGAGUUGGAAUUAGAGAUGGAAGCAAGUUGUUACAGUCAAUGAGAUCAUUCCCAUCCCUCAACACUCUUGACCUGACCGAUAAUAAUUUUACCAAUAUAGCGACCGCUACUCAAGGUAAGUAAAAGGUACAGAUGUGGCCAAAUUUAUAAAUAAAUUGUUUAUUAAUUAAUUUUUUCGUAUUAUUAAUUAAGCUAAAUUCGUUGCUCCUUCCUUCUAAAUCUAAACAGAGUUGCACAAUUUCACCAACUUGGAAUAUUUGACAUUGCACGGUUCCUCUCUCCAUAUAAGCCUUCUGCAAAGCAUUGCAUCAAUAUUCCCUUCGUUAAAAAAUCUGUCGAUGUCUUUUUGUGAAGUCAAUGGUGUUGUACGCGGUCAAGGUAAAAGAAAAGCGUUGAUUGUGAACUCACUCAAUGGUGUCCUACGUGUUCAACAUUUUUAUUUAUUAAUUUAUUUAUUGUUUAAUGUUUCUGCUAGGUUUUCCUCAUUUCAAGAGUUUGGAACAUUUUGACAUGAGCUCCACACGCAUUGCACUCAACACCAGCUUUCUUCAAAUCAUCGGUGAAUCGAUGCCUUCUCUUAAGUACUUAUCACUGUCAUAUUCUACUCUUGGCACUAACAGCAGCAGGAUUCUUGAUCAAGGUUAAUGAGAUGCUGCCACCCUCCCUUCUUAAUCUAUAAUAUUAAUUUUCGAUUAAAUAUUUAAUUACACAAACCAAUCACUUAUUAUAAAAGAAUAAUACGCAUUCAUUAAUUUUUAAAUUGUAUUAAUAAUUGAUGAAUUUAAUAAAUUUUCAGGCCUCUGUUCGUUGAUGCAUCUACAAGAGUUACACAUUGCUUAUAACGAUUUAAGAGGUAGCUUGCCUUGGUGCUUGGCAAAUAUGACAUCCCUCCGAAUAUUAGAUGUUUCUUCCAAUCAACUUACUGGAAGCAUCUCCUCAUCUCCCCUCGUUCAUUUGACAUCCAUUGAAGAGCUGAGGCUUUCAUACAACCACUUCCAGAUCCCAAUUUCACUUGAACCACUUUUCAAUCAUUCAAGACUCAAGAUUUUUUAUGCUGACAACAACGAACUAAAUGCAGAAAUAACUGAGUCACAUUCUUUGACCGCCCCAAACUUCCAAUUAUCACGUCUCUCAUUGUCUUCCAGUUACGGAGACAGUUUCAUAUUCCCCAAAUUCCUUUACCAUCAACAUGACCUGGAGUAUGUUGAUCUCUCACACAUAAAGAUGAAUGGAGAAUUUCCAACUUGGUUGUUGGAAAACAACACAAAAUUGAGACAACUUUCUCUCGUCAAUGAUUCUCUUGCAGGACAUUUCCGGUUGCCAAUUCAUUCACACAAGCGGUUAGGACUGUUGGAUAUAUCCAACAACAACUUCCGAGGCCACAUUCCAGUAAAAAUUGGAGAUGUUUUACCAAGUUUAUACGUUUUCAACAAUUCCAUGAAUGCUUUAGACGGUAGCAUUCCCUCUUCAUUUGGUAAUAUGAAAUUCCUCCAAAUUCUGGACUUAUCCAACAAUCACUUGACUGGUGAAAUCCCCGAGCACUUGGCCGUGGGUUGCGUCAACUUGCAGUCUCUUGCAUUAUCAAAUAACAACCUACAAGGUCAUUUGUUCUCUAGAAAUUUUAACUUGACAAACUUGCAAUGGUUACAAUUGGAGGGCAAUCGCUUCGUAGGUGAGAUCCCACAAAGUUUGUCUAAAUGCUCCUCACUAGAAGGAUUGUAUCUUAACAAUAAUAGUCUUUCGGGUAAGAUUCCACGAUGGUUGGGUAAUCUCACAUGGUUACAAUAUAUUAUACUGCCCAAUAAUCAUCUUGAAGGCCCUAUUCCAGUGGAGUUUUGUCAGCUUGAUUCGCUUCAGAUUUUGGACAUUUCAGACAACAACAUAUCUGGAAGUUUACCAUCUUGUUUCCAUCCUCUCUCUAUCAAACAAGUUCAUCUUUCAAAAAAUAUGUUACAUGGACAGCUAAAAAGAGGUACAUUCUUUAAUUGCUCUUCCCUUGUGACAUUAGAUCUUAGUUAUAACCGCUUGAAUGGCAGCAUUCCGGAUUGGGUUGAUGGGCUUUCUCGGUUAAGCCACCUUAUCUUAGGUCACAAUAAUCUUGAAGGUGAAGUGCCAGUUCAAUUGUGCAAAUUGAACCAACUACAAUUGUUAGAUCUUUCUAAUAAUAAUCUUCACGGUCUUAUUCCUCCUUGCUUUGAUAACACCACACUUCAUGAAAGUUACAGCAAUAGUUCUAGUCCUGAUGAGCAAUUUGAAAUAUUUUUUUCCAUCGAAGGCCCUCAGGGAGGUGUAGAAAAGCAAAUCCAUGAAAAUUUUGAGUUCACAACAAAGAACAAUGCAUACAUUUACCAAGGAAAAGUGCUUAGCCUCCUAUCAGGACUUGAUCUUUCUUGCAACAAGCUAAUCGGUCAUAUUCCUCCUCAAAUUGGAAAUUUGACAAGGAUUCAAACAUUGAAUCUAUCGCACAACAACUUGACAGGAUCGAUCCCAUCAACAUUUUCAAACUUGAAGUAUGUCGAAAGUUUGGAUCUUUCCAACAACAAAUUGAAUGGGAAAAUCCCUUAUCAACUAGUGGAGUUAAAGACAUUGGAGGUUUUCAGUGUGGCAUACAAUAACUUAUCAGGCGAAAUUCCAGAAUGGAAAGCACAAUUUGCAACCUUCAACGAGAGUAGCUAUGAGGGAAAUAUUUUUCUUUGUGGACUGCCAUUGCCUAUUUGCAUAUCACCAACAACUACGCAGGAGGCUUCAAUUGACAAUGAACGAGAUGAUAAUUUAAUUGACAUGGACAGUUUCUUUAUCACAUUUACAACAUCGUACGUAAUUGUGAUAUUCGGAAUUGUUAUUGUUUUAUAUGUAAAUUCUUAUUGGCGACGUAGAUGGUUUUACUUUGUUGAAAUGUGGAUAACUUCAUGUUAUUAUUUUAUUGUAGA
RNAcentral lists this long non-coding RNA (32063 nucleotides) under Citrus maxima (pomelo). Its description in RNAcentral is "long non-coding RNA (CMAX_LNC001467)". The record is from RNAcentral. Lineage: Eukaryota; Viridiplantae; Streptophyta; Magnoliopsida; Sapindales; Rutaceae.